CCUUCGCCGAGCUCCGGUCACCAUCUCCAAAUAAAGGGUUAUCUGAUAACAUUGUAAGCAAUAACCAGCUUCAAGUUUUAUACCAUCCCGAUUACGCCGACAACGUUCCUCUUGAGGACUAUGAGGAAGACAGGGACAACAUCUGGACAACCGCUUCCACAUUCAUUAUCCUGUUCUUCCUGAGCAUUUCCUACGAUGCUGCCGUAACUCUGGUGAAGGUCAAGUGACGAUUGAAUGUUGAAAACCGCGUAUUUAUCUGACCGGUCUAUGGACGUCGUUGUAACCAAGGAAAAUGUUCAAAUUUGAAGCGGACAAUAUCAUAAGCAAUAGUUCAUUCUGUCCAUCUGACUUGUUUGAUAUUGCCUAGUUGCCUUUAGUAUAGCGUUAAUGUAUCAAACUAUUUUAAUCGUAAUUUGAAUAUCAUGUGAUCUCGGUAGACGUUUCUUUUUUUCUUUUUAUCUUUUUUUCUAUACAUUCACUUUUUCUUUAGCAUGGGUCAUAUGUGUGUCCUUCCGGUGUUGAAUGCCGUUGUAUAGAAAGUCAGGAACGCUGUUUGCGUGAGAUCGUAAACUUCAUGUUAAAUUCAGACACACUAUCUAUGCCUGUCAUUAUUCUAAAAACUUCUACCGGGUCUCCCUUCAACCUCCGACGCGCCAAAGAAAACAAUCCAUGUUUGCCAACAUCUUCUUUUCGCUAAUAAUUCUACCCCCUGCAGCAUUCUAGUAAACCUCUUCUG
This is a long non-coding RNA of Amblyraja radiata (thorny skate), 736 nucleotides long. RefSeq lists it as uncharacterized. The record is from RefSeq and is a predicted model, not a curated record. The transcript is spliced from 3 exons. NCBI's taxonomy places the organism in Eukaryota, Metazoa, Chordata, Chondrichthyes, Rajiformes, Rajidae.